CCUACGGGAGGCAGCAGUGGGGAAUAUUGGACAAUGGGCGAAGGCCUGAUCCAGCCAUGCCGCGUGUGUGAAGAAGGCCUUCGGGUUGUAAAGCACUUUCAGUGGGGAAGAAAGCCUUGGGGCUAAUACCCUCGAGGAAGGACAUCACCCACAGAAGAAGCACCGGCUAACUCCGUGCCAGCAGCCGCGGUAAUACGGAGGGUGCGAGCGUUAAUCGGAAUUACUGGGCGUAAAGCGCGCGUAGGCGGUCUGAUAAGCCGGUUGUGAAAGCCCCGGGCUCAACCUGGGAACGGCAUCCGGAACUGUCAGGCUAGAGUGCAGGAGAGGAAGGUAGAAUUCCCGGUGUAGCGGUGAAAUGCGUAGAGAUCGGGAGGAAUACCAGUGGCGAAGGCGGCCUUCUGGACUGACACUGACGCUGAGGUGCGAAAGCGUGGGUAGCAAACAGGAUUAGAUACCCCGGUAGUC
This 465-nucleotide ribosomal RNA is filed under the name Vreelandella stevensii. RNAcentral's name for it is "partial 16S ribosomal RNA". It matches the Rfam family "Bacterial small subunit ribosomal RNA", at positions 338 to 795 of the family's 1533-position model. Lineage: Bacteria; Pseudomonadati; Pseudomonadota; Gammaproteobacteria; Oceanospirillales; Halomonadaceae. The record is from RNAcentral.